UUCGACAAUCGACGAACGUUUGCCGAAACGACUAUUCCCGAAUGCAGGAAUGUUAUCUCAGGGAGGGCCGUCAUUUAGAGGACGUUAUUUUCAAAACGUGAGUUCUGUUUGCUUUUUUGUAAAUGGCAUACAUGUACCUUUUUCUGUGACAAUAAGGUUAUGUAACAACAAUUAUAUUAUUACUGUGCAUUUUCAAAAUCUCCCACUUCCUCGCGCCGCUCUGUAUAUCGUAACAUCGCUUGCUGUCGCUCUCAGUAGCUGAAAUACAAAUUAGUUUGUUUUCUGAAGCGACAAAGACAAAUUAAGAUGGCUUCCGAGUUCGAUUCAGAAGUUUUUAAUAAGCGAAAUUCGGAAAAGAAUCCUGUACUAUGAAACAUGAGAGAUAAAAAUUACGAUAAUCGGCAUUUAGUAGAUAAGUAAUGGGACGAUAUUUCAUUAUAGAUGCUAUAGAAGCGCCCUUCGUAGGACAGAUUGUCGCUUGUAGCGUAGCAUAGCGAAGCAUUGCGUUUGUAGUAUCGCAUCGUGUAGCUUCGUGUUGCUUACUCAUGGGACACGGCUUUAGAGAAGACCGCCGAUUUAAGCUCGUAUCCGAUUUUCUUCACUUGCGCGUCCGUUCGAGGGUAAGUUUAUUAAUUAAUAUAAUCCCAGAGAAGAAUGAAAAACAUAGUUAUGCGAUAGCGACGUCGCAAUUAUAUGUCUUAUGAUGUAACAUGUCAAACGAUGUUGGCUGUGAGUAAAAAUAUAAUGUGCAUUCCAAGAAUUAUUAUGACGGAAUUUUAAUAGAAUUUCAACUUUAAAUAUAUCCAAACAAUCGAAGAACGUAAUAACAUUCAAAUUAAAACCAAAAUCUGAAAGAUUUUACAUGCGUUUUCAUCACAAUUCUGAAAUAUUCUAGCCUUCGAUCGAUUUUAAAAUUCCAUAGGCAUCCGGCAGGUGUUGCUGAAUUUUCAACACUCUUCAUCUCCAAUUUGCGCCAACUUACAAUUUCCAUAGAUAGAAAAGCAGACAUCUAUUUUUAUUAUUGUAGAAUUAUAAUAAUUAGUGAAUUUCAUUUUCAUCAAUUAAUGAAUUUACUUAAUGAAAUAAAAAAAAUAAAAAAUAAGCAAAAUUUUUGCAAUAAAAAGAUGGAAAGUUUUAUUACCUGACCUGAUAAACUUUAAAAGAAAAUGGUCUUCGUUUUCUUUUACGUGAAUAAAAUGACCGGCAUUUUGCUACUCGCCGUAUAUAGUAAACUACUGAACUGUGAACUUUAAAAAAAAAAUAUGACCAUCAUUUUCGUUUAAAAGUUAAGAGUUUAGUAUUUUUACUUUAUUUGUUGUAUCUUACGUCAUAAUAAUGCCAGAAUGUUUUCUAUUAUACAAUGCUAUCAAUCGUUAUACAAUACUGAUUUGCAGUUAUACGUCUGUUGAUGUCAUAUGUCAUCAGAUAUAUGGCAUAUUUUCUAUUUCUGUUAAGAAGAAAGUUAAAAACAAAUAUUGUUAGAUUCAUUGCCUGCAUAUUUUAGCCUACUUUCCAAAGGAAA
This 1522-nucleotide long non-coding RNA is filed under the name Androctonus crassicauda. Lineage: Eukaryota; Metazoa; Arthropoda; Arachnida; Scorpiones; Buthidae. The record is from RNAcentral.